This 465-nucleotide ribosomal RNA is filed under the name Vreelandella stevensii. RNAcentral's name for it is "partial 16S ribosomal RNA". It matches the Rfam family "Bacterial small subunit ribosomal RNA", at positions 338 to 795 of the family's 1533-position model. Lineage: Bacteria; Pseudomonadati; Pseudomonadota; Gammaproteobacteria; Oceanospirillales; Halomonadaceae. The record is from RNAcentral.
CCUACGGGUGGCAGCAGUGGGGAAUAUUGGACAAUGGGGGGAACCCUGAUCCAGCCAUGCCGCGUGUGUGAAGAAGGCCCUCGGGUUGUAAAGCGCUUUCAGUGAGGAAGAACGCCUGGUGGUUAAUACCCAUCAGGAAAGACAUCACUCACAGAAGAAGCACCGGCUAACUCCGUGCCAGCAGCCGCGGUAAUACGGAGGGUGCGAGCGUUAAUCGGAAUUACUGGGCGUAAAGCGCGCGUAGGUGGCUUGAUAAGCCGGUUGUGAAAGCCCCGGGCUCAACCUGGGAACGGCAUCCGGAACUGUCAAGCUAGAGUGCAGGAGAGGAAGGUAGAAUUCCCGGUGUAGCGGUGAAAUGCGUAGAGAUCGGGAGGAAUACCAGUGGCGAAGGCGGCCUUCUGGACUGACACUGACACUGAGGUGCGAAAGCGUGGGUAGCAAACAGGAUUAGAUACCCGAGUAGUC